RNAcentral lists this long non-coding RNA (232 nucleotides) under Olea europaea (common olive). Its description in RNAcentral is "long non-coding RNA (OEUR_LNC011798)". The record is from RNAcentral. Lineage: Eukaryota; Viridiplantae; Streptophyta; Magnoliopsida; Lamiales; Oleaceae.
CUGGCACUCCACCUCAUAGAGCUCUUUUUUCAGCCGCUCCACCUCCGCCUGCGAAGCAGCGAGCUGGACCUCAGCAGCUCUCUUUUCCUCUUCUGCCUUGGCAGCUUUGGCCUGGGCAGCUCGCACAGCGUCCCCGUAAUGCAUCGCCUCCUCGAGGCGCUUGGCGAGGUCCUCCCUCUUGGAGUUUAGAUCCUUCACCAAGCCCUCGAGUUGGAUACUUGUGCUUAGUGCC